This 2293-nucleotide small RNA is filed under the name Pongo abelii (Sumatran orangutan). RNAcentral describes it as "processed transcript". The record is from RNAcentral. Lineage: Eukaryota; Metazoa; Chordata; Mammalia; Primates; Hominidae.
CCGGCCCUCUCAGGGCGGGCAGGGCGUGACAGGCUUCUUGCCUCGUCCAGCAGGCCAGGGUCAUUGGAAUGGCUGCACUAGUGACCUGCGUGUCUCUUCCUUUCCACGCGCAUAUGUGUCUGCGUGUGUGUGAAAAGUGGGCAAGCAGUGGACGUGCUCCGUGUGCGACAAGAAGUACGUGACCGAGUACAUGCUGCAGAAGCACGUUCAGCUCACACACGACAAGGUGGAGGCGCAGAGCUGCCAGCUGUGCGGGACGAAGGUGUCCACCAGGGCCUCCAUGAGCCGACACAUGCGGCGCAAGCACCCCGAGGUGCUCGCGGUGAGGAUCGAUGACCUGGACCACCUCCCGGAGGCCACAACCAUCGACGCCUCCUCCAUCGGCAUCGUCCAGCCUGAGCUGACUCUGGAGCAGGAGGAUUUGGCCGAAGGGAAGCACGGGAAAGCUGCCAAGAGAAGUCACAAGAGAAAGCAGAAGCCAGAAGAGGAGGCGGGCGCUCCGGUGCCUGAGGACGCCACCUUCAGCGAAUACUCAGAGAAAGAGACGGAGUUCACAGGCAGCGUAGGCGACGAGACCAAUUCCGCAGUACAGAGCAUUCAGCAGGUAGUGGUGACCCUGGGUGACCCAAAUGUGACCACACCAUCGAGCUCAGUCGGCUUGACCAACAUCACCGUGACCCCCAUCACCACUGCAGCUGCGACUCAGUUUACCAAUCUCCAGCCGGUGGCCGUGGGGCACCUUACCACCCCUGAACGCCAGUUACAGCUGGACAACUCAAUCCUGACCGUGACCUUUGAUACCGUCAGCGGCUCUGCCAUGUUGCACAACCGCCAAAAUGACGUCCAGAUCCACCCCCAGCCGGAAGCCUCGAACCCACAGUCUGUGGCCCACUUCAUCAAUCUGACGACCCUGGUCAACUCCAUCACACCCCUGGGGAGCCAGCUUAGUGACCAGCACCCGCUCACAUGGCGGGCAGUACCCCAGACUGACGUCUUGCCACCCCCGCAGCCGCAGGCACCCCCACAGCAGGCAGCCCAGCCCCAGGUGCAGGCGGAGCAGCAGCAGCAGAUGUACAGCUACUGAGCUGCGUUCCGGGAGACUCGGGGCAAGAACUGCAGAGGGAUGUUUGGGAUUUGUUUAGAUUUGUUUGCUGGAUACCAAACAAACAAAAAGUCAUACAUUGCAAUGUAAGGUUGACUUAGCUUUGCAGAGUAUCUCCAGAUUCCCUGCCAGCAACCAUUACGGUCUGUCAGCUUAACUCUAGAAGCGACCUCUGGCAGGCCAGAGUUUUAAACUGGAUGGGGUUCCACACUAUGCCUUACCAAGGCAGAGUUGAGUUGGUUCUUAUACAACUAUGGGCUGAAACCAUACGUGAGGCGUGCUGAGCCGCCCGCACAUGAUCCUGCAGCCUUCGAGCUCGUCAAGGUCAUCACGUACAAGGGGUCACGUGAGGUCACUGACUCCAGCUCAAAAGGCAUCUUAGUAAUAUCCGUGAAUCGAUUUCCAAUAGAGUUUUUUUCCUUUUUUUUUUUUUUUAACUUUAUUUCAAACAUACAUUAUGUGUUCAAGACUGUUAUGGCCAAUAUGGUAUUUCAGUUUUAUGUUAACAUGAUAAAGUCAUGUGCACUGUAGGACCAUUGGUCCCUGUCCACCCUUCACAGCUGCCCAGAUGCAGAGGGUCGCGCGGCUGUGUGUGAGGAGUGAGCCUCCCUGCUUCCCCCAGCGGCUCCUCCGGGUUGUCUCAGGAUUCUCUGCAAUCCAAAUGUACCAUUCUGGCUGAAGCCCAGCCGGAAUCCCCUGAGUGGAAGAAACGGGGGAAAAUUCAUAUUUUCCUUCUGUUUAAACUUCAAUUCCAAAGGUGCACAGAUGUAUUCAUAAAGGAAGACAUUAGAUCCGCCGUUGUGGCCACCAGGCUCUGUGGACCCAUCUCAGUGGAGAAUUUGUUUUGGACCCGUAGCUCCGUGCAGCUGUGGACUCGAGUGCCAUCCACUGGUGUGAGUCUUGCGGGGAGGCCACAGGAAAACGUUCUGUGUCAAGUGCCGCCUCGCUGUGUCCGGCAUGGGACUGUGCUGGAGGGUCCGGCGUGGAAGGCAGACCUCCUGUACCUCUAUCGUUCCCAUUUGUGGCAUCCAAAGGCGGAAGGCUCAUGGCUUCCCCGCUAGAGGCGGCAUCUUGGGCUUUCCCAUUGGAUUUUGAAAGGCAUUAAGACUGUUUGGAGAGAUGUUGGCUGUAUUUCGUGUCACAUCAGUUUGUAUGAUGAUGAAUAAAAGGUGCUGUGACCCGUGUUUUCAA